Molecule: ribosomal RNA, 180 nt
Filed under: uncultured bacterium
Lineage: Bacteria
Description: partial 16S ribosomal RNA
Rfam family: Bacterial small subunit ribosomal RNA
Source: RNAcentral
UGAAGCUGGAAUUGCUAGUAAUGGCAGGUCAGCAUACUGCCGUGAAUACGUUCCCGGGCCUUGUACACACCGCCCGUCACACCAUGAGAGUUGGAAAUACCCGAAGCCUGUGAGCUAACUGUAAAGAGGCAGCAGUCGAAGGUAGAGCCAAUGAUUGGGGUGAAGUCGUAACAAGGUAUC